AGGAUUAGCGUUUUGUUUACGCUAAUUGUAGCCUCGGCUAUUUUGGUGUUCUCCUAGUCCGGUAGUAGUUAAGCGCUAUUUGGUGACUCUCUGGUGGUUAUAUCUGUAAACAGCAGAAUGUGCACAGAGGAACUGAAGUCACACAGAAAGAACUACAGAAGAGGAGUUUGCUGGACAACACGAGCAGAGCUACUGAGCCACGUUACCACGUAGGAGUAUUAACAAGGUGCCACUGGAGAGGUGAACAGCCCGGCUCUAAAUACUGCAGGGGUGGAUCAUGGAAUGUGGAUCAGCUGUGUAGGAAUGGAGCAGGAUGAACGGCCACGCCUCCUCACCUGCUUCCUCUAGACACGCCCCUUUUCUCUUCUGGUUGAUGCUUCAGCAAAACCAGAGCUACAAGACAAAGAGUUUGGCGGCUAAUCCGGUUGAUGCGCGUGAAUCAAACAUCGUGGACGUGAACUUCCUCGCUCGCGAGGUUAAUCUCUGCUCGCGCUCGAAGGUGUUGUUAUUGACAGCAAGGGGGCGGAGCCAGUCACCGGCAUCUCCACGUCUGAUUGGUUCCACUCUUCGUGCUUGGAUUGGCUGGAUUUCGUCCCCGUUGACCGUUGUGAAUCCCCAGAACUGAUGGAGCAGGAUGAACGGAUCGGAUUAACGGUACCUGAGGUGUGCAAGUGGUACAUGAAGACAGACAAUGUCCCUCUCUGUCUUCUUCACAAAUGGCUGUGGAAACCCCUCACCGUGUCCUCCGGCCUCAAACGUUGGAGCGUCUCCUGUCAAAACUGGAGCUCGCACUCAUUCCAACACACUCCAUAUGGAUUUCCUGCAGGAGGAAAAGACGACUUGUCAACAAGGCAAAAGUGAUGCUGAUCAGGAUGCUCGGCCUGCGCUUAGUGCUCCUAAUGGCCUUUGGCACGUUUCACUGCGCCCAAAGGAAAGCCACCAAUCAGAGCCUGGAGUCUCCAACACAGCUGUCAAUCACUGCCAGUGACACGCUGACAAUCAAACCGUCUGAUCUAAACGUCCUAUGAGCUGUUUCAGAGGCAUGUUUCAGCUACUGAUGAGCAGUAAAACAUGUUGGGACAGAAAGCAGUCGAGCCAGGACGUGUCUCCUUGUGGACGUGUAGAUUAUGUCUCGUGUUCUACAGUCAAGAGACAGUGAGACGUUUCAUUGAAGUCACUAAAUGUUGCUUUAAAGCCGUCAUCACAAAGACAUAGUUUCACUUUGUGUGUUUGUCUUGAAGGACACGCUACAUCCAGACGGAGGAAGAUGAAGCAGGUGGCGCGAUGCACCUGGUCACGUGACGCUGGUUGCGACCCGCCAGAACAAACCGGAAGAAGACGAAGAAGAAGAAGAAGAAGACGUGAGGGAGACGCGUAGAAAGUCACCAAGCUUCACUUUAACGUCUUAAAGUGUCACAUGGUGUGAGUAUGUCCCGUGACACACAGCGUGUGUUUACUGUGUGUUUGUGUGUUAACGGGCCGUCAACCUUUGCAAAGUUCCUUUACCGUUUAGACGAAAAAUACGGAAAUCAAACGAAAAUACGGAAAUAACACCGUUUUAUUUUAGUUUUUUCGCUUUAAACCAAAAGAGUAAAUGUCCUUUUCUGUCCAAAUCCAAACACGAAAAAACGACCGAUCUGUUUUUCUGUAAAUCCCUUUUUGUUUGUUCCUUUUAAAAGAAACCGAAGCGCAGCCGCUAAACCGGAAGUGCGCACAUUUUAACAGUAAAACGCAAUAGAACGUUUGUACGAUAGAAAUC
Molecule: long non-coding RNA, 1759 nt
Organism: Gasterosteus aculeatus aculeatus (three-spined stickleback)
Lineage: Eukaryota; Metazoa; Chordata; Actinopteri; Perciformes; Gasterosteidae
Source: Ensembl